RNAcentral lists this long non-coding RNA (204 nucleotides) under Brassica napus (rape). RNAcentral describes it as "long non-coding RNA (BNAP_LNC002477)". Lineage: Eukaryota; Viridiplantae; Streptophyta; Magnoliopsida; Brassicales; Brassicaceae. The record is from RNAcentral.
UAGGAUAGCACCAAACCAAAUUUUUGUUCCCAAAGUAGCACUCAAGGCUCAAAGUCAUAAAAAUAGGUUUCAUUAAAGAGGUAAAUAUACACUUAUACCCCUUGGAUUAAUUAAUCCAAACCUUAGGGUUUAGAGUUAAGGGGGUGGGGUUUUGGAAUUAGGGUUUAAAAUUUUAUAAAAAAUAAAUACUAAAAUAAAAAAUAA